GACGUCGAUAUUCGACGUCAUAAACACGAUCAAGUUUGGUGUUUAUGACGUCGAUAUUCGACGUCAUAAACCCGAUCAAGUUUGGUGUUUAUGACGUCGAUAUUCGACGUCAUAAACACGAUCAAGUUUGGUGUUUAUGACGUCGAUAUUCGACGUCAUAAACACCAUCAAGUUUGGUGUUGAUGACGUGGAUAUUCGACGUC
Molecule: non-coding RNA, 203 nt
Organism: Paramuricea clavata
Lineage: Eukaryota; Metazoa; Cnidaria; Anthozoa; Malacalcyonacea; Plexauridae
Source: the annotation of a GenBank genome assembly